UAUCGACAUCUAAUAUAAGAGAGGUAAUUGAACUGCAAAUUACACAAAAAACGGAGAUUCUGCGAGAGAGUGAUAGAGAGGUGAAAAAAAUAGAUAAAGGGAGAUUGAGCGUCAGGUAAUAAGCUGUCAAAAUUACGUCUCCGAAAGAAAAUGGUUCAAUAAAACGUGAAUGCAAGAUAAAAAAAUACGGAGGUGCCAACCAAGAAAAGCUGAAGCUGAAAAUCCAAGAAAAGUCAUGGCAACUAGGGCAGUUCCGAUUUUAUUAUUGCUUGCUCUCCAAGAUUUAAUCAAAAUUGCAGUUUUUUUCAGACAAAGCAACAACGUCACUUAAUUUAAUACGGUAAAUGGCAGCAGUUUUUGUUGGUUAAAAGAGCUAAGCAACGUGAAAAAAAUUAAUAUGAGUGAUUUUUGUGUAUUUAGUGGAGCUCUAUUAAGUUCAAGCAUCCAAAAAGGAUAUGUUCUUAUUCGGCUUAAAAUUGUUGGCAAUUUUCUGGCAAUUUCACUUGGCCGCAAGACAAAGAAGCUGGAAUGAAAUGAAAACGAUAAUUUCAUUAAGCCUUCAGCUUUCGUUUUGAGUACGCUGGGAUAUGUUAAAAACUUUGCAGAAAUGCGGCCUUUCUUUCAUAUGUGGAUGCAUAUACACACGCACACGCUUAAUGCGCAUCAGCAUCAGAGAGCAGCGUUGUAAGGGCAUUGUGUAUGUUAUUUAAAACACAGAGCAUUAAUUAUGCAAUGAAUGAGUCCACAUGGAGGAAAAUUAUAGAGUAGUUGGUGUGUAAUGUCUUAAAUUAGGUACCCAAAAGGUAAUCAGGGAUCUCAUUUUAAUAUAUUAAAGUUCUAGUUUGUAAACAAAUUUAAAAAGAUUACUGUUGUUCUAUAUUACUAUUUCUACUAUCUACAUUCCUGAAUUAUUCAUUCACUUUAAGAAAUUUUAAAGACUUUAUUUUUUUAAUUUGAAUAAAACCUUACCUAUUUCCUUUCUAAUCAUUUCUAAACCUUUCUCGCUGUGCACAUUUUAUUAAUUAAAUAUUAUAUACAAAUGGUCAUAGA
Long non-coding RNA from Drosophila gunungcola (fruit fly), 1050 nucleotides. RefSeq lists it as uncharacterized. Lineage: Eukaryota; Metazoa; Arthropoda; Insecta; Diptera; Drosophilidae. The record is from RefSeq and is a predicted model, not a curated record. The transcript is spliced from 3 exons.